Long non-coding RNA from Syzygium oleosum, 1169 nucleotides. RefSeq lists it as uncharacterized. The record is from RefSeq and is a predicted model, not a curated record. NCBI's taxonomy places the organism in Eukaryota, Viridiplantae, Streptophyta, Magnoliopsida, Myrtales, Myrtaceae. The transcript is spliced from 4 exons.
CAAGUCAGCAAGCAGCAAUUCUAUUGAGUAUGCAAUGCGUGUCCAAAUGAUCCCACCCGUUAGAAAUUUUUGAAAGUCCCUCUCUUCUCUCUCUCCAUUACUUCUUCGUUUGUUGUCCCCGUUACUAAGAAAGAAAAGGUGUCGCUGCUCUCUCUCUCUCUCUCUCUCUCUCUCUCUCUCCCUCCCUCUUCGCGAGUUCACUCCUCUUUUAAUUUUCUUAGAAUUACGUCUCUCCCCCAGAAUCGCAACAAGUUCACUCAAAGAAACUCCUUGAAAUUCCUGAGAAAAUGAGAAGAGGAAGUGAACUUGUAGCGAUUCUAGGGUAGAGAUGACAUUUUGAGAAAAUUGAAAGAGGGAGUAAACUCGUGAAGAGAGAGAGAGAGAGAGCAAAGACACGUUUUCUCAUUUUUUGGGAGUGAACUCGUGAAGGAAGAGAGAGAGAGAGCAUAAAUAUCUUCUUUUUUCUCAAUAAUAGGGACGGUAAACGGAGAUAACGGAGAGAGAGAAGAGAGGGACUUUCAAAAAAAAUUGACGAGUAGGACCGUCCGGACACGUGUCUUACGUUGAAUGGAGUGAUUGUUCGCUGACAUGACAAGACAGUCUCACCUAAUAUUUUCUCCACAGUGCGCCUACAAUUUUGAACUCAGAAGUUGCAACGGCCACACACGUGAGUCUCGUAAUGUACUUGUCAAGGGCGAUCCUCAGAUUCGUCAGAACGGUGAAGGUAGGGAUGAAACGAGGCUCGCCACAACAGACAGCCAGUCCAGCCAUUGCUCAGAGUUGCCAGAGAACCCCUAUGCAGAGGAGUCUCGCACAGAAACAACAUUAAGCUUUGUGAGAGAAAGGUUAGGGUUCUUCAAAGAGGGGCUGGCGGUGGUGACGGCGAACAGCCGACAGGCAGUGGUGUGGUGGUGAUAAGAGUGUCUUUAUCUCGCCCUCAUUGCCUGCAUUUUUUCUCUUCUAAGCAGAGUAUAUAUAAGUUCCAGAAGCAGCUAUGACGAAAACCCCCACAUAAACGCAAAUUGUUGCAGCGGCGACAUAAAGGCACAGCACUGAAAGAAUGAAGCAUGCUGGCAUAGAUCUGCACAAGAAGCAAAAGCACUGGCAACGAAUUCGUUGGCUGUUGGAGCAAAAGUUGAAGGAGACACCAACAUAAUAUGUAUGCCCAC